UUGCUUAGCGCCCAAGGUAGAUGAGAGA
RNAcentral lists this non-coding RNA (28 nucleotides) under Homo sapiens (human). Lineage: Eukaryota; Metazoa; Chordata; Mammalia; Primates; Hominidae. The record is from RNAcentral.